CAGACAUCUCCCAAAUUGGUACAGAAUAAUUUAGGAGGGAAAGUGGAAGAGUUCUGUUGUGAAGAAUGCAUGUCCAAAUAUACAGUUUUGUUCUAUCAGAUGGCCAAAUGUGAUGCUUGUAAGCGACAGGGUAAACUCAGUGAGUCCUUGAAAUGGCGAGGGGAAAUGAAACAUUUCUGUAACCUGCUUUGUAUCUUGAUGUUCUGUAAUCAGCAAAGUGUAUGUGACCCGCCUUCACAAAAUAAUGCAGCAAAUAUUUCCAUGGUUCAAGCUGCUUCAGCAGGACCCCCAUCUCUGAGAAAAGAUUCGACUCCAGUUAUAGCCAAUGUAGUAUCAUUGGCAAGUGCCCCUGCUGCUCAGCCUACAGUGAAUUCUAACAGUGUCUUACAAGGUGCAGUUCCAACAGUAACAGCGAAAAUCAUCGGUGAUGCAAGUACUCAAACAGAUGCCCUGAAACUGCCACCUUCCCAACCUCCAAGGCUUUUGAAGAACAAAGCUUUAUUAUGCAAACCCAUCACACAGACUAAAGCCACCUCUUGCAAACCACAUACC
This 552-nucleotide long non-coding RNA is filed under the name Homo sapiens (human). RNAcentral describes it as "long non-coding RNA NONHSAT148702.1". The record is from RNAcentral. Lineage: Eukaryota; Metazoa; Chordata; Mammalia; Primates; Hominidae.